Molecule: ribosomal RNA, 497 nt
Filed under: uncultured bacterium
Lineage: Bacteria
Description: partial 16S ribosomal RNA
Rfam family: Bacterial small subunit ribosomal RNA
Source: RNAcentral
GAUGAACGCUGGCGGCGUGCCUAAUACAUGCAAGUCGAGCGAACGGACGAGAAGCUUGCUUCUCUGAUGUUAGCGGCGGACGGGUGAGUAACACGUGGAUAACCUACCUAUAAGACUGGGAUAACUUCGGGAAACCGGAGCUAAUACCGGAUAAUAUUUUGAACCGCAUGGUUCAAAAGUGAAAGACGGUCUUGCUGUCACUUAUAGAUGGAUCCGCGCUGCAUUAGCUAGUUGGUAAGGUAACGGCUUACCAAGGCAACGAUGCAUAGCCGACCUGAGAGGGGGAUCGGCCCCACUGGGACUGGGACACCGUCCACACCCCCAAGGGGGGGAAGAGGUGGGAAUCUUUCCGAAUGGGGCAAAACCCUACGGGGCAACGCCCGGGGAGGGAAGAAAGGCUUCGGAUCGGAAAACCCUUUUUUUAGGGAAAAAAAAAAUGUGAAAGAACUUUGCACCUCCUGGCCGGAACUAAACAAAAAGCCACGGGUAACUUCGGG